UGGGGAAUAUUGCACAAUGGGGAAACCCUGAUGCAGCGACGCCGCGUGAGCGAAGAAGUAUUUCGGUAUGUAAAGCUCUAUCAGCAGGGAAGAAAGUGACGGUACCUGACUAAGAAGCACCGGCUAAAUACGUGCCAGCAGCCGCGGUAAUACGUAUGGUGCAAGCGUUAUCCGGAUUUACUGGGUGUAAAGGGAGCGUAGACGGAUAGGCAAGUCUGGAGUGAAAACCCGGGGCUCAACCCCGGGCACUGCUUUGGAAAACUGUUUAUCUAGAGUGCUGGAGAGGUAAGUGGAAUUCCUAGUGUAGCGGUGAAAUGCGUAGAUAUUAGGAGGAACACCAGUGGCGAAGGCGGCUUACUGGACAGUAACUGACGUUGAGGCUCGAAAAGCGUGGGUAUCGAACAGGAAUAGAUACC
Molecule: ribosomal RNA, 416 nt
Filed under: uncultured bacterium
Lineage: Bacteria
Description: bacterial SSU rRNA
Rfam family: Bacterial small subunit ribosomal RNA
Source: RNAcentral